RNAcentral lists this transfer RNA (71 nucleotides) under Loxodonta africana (African savanna elephant). It matches the Rfam family "tRNA". Rfam says of the family: Transfer RNA (tRNA) molecules are approximately 80 nucleotides in length. Their secondary structure includes four short double-helical elements and three loops (D, anti-codon, and T loops). Further hydrogen bonds mediate the characteristic L-shaped molecular structure. tRNAs have two regions of fundamental functional importance: the anti-codon, which is responsible for specific mRNA codon recognition, and the 3' end, to which the tRNAs corresponding amino acid is attached (by aminoacyl-tRNA synthetases). tRNAs cope with the degeneracy of the genetic code in two manners: having more than one tRNA (with a specific anti-codon) for a particular amino acid; and 'wobble' base-pairing, i.e. permitting non-standard base-pairing at the 3rd anti-codon position. The record is from Rfam by way of RNAcentral. Lineage: Eukaryota; Metazoa; Chordata; Mammalia; Proboscidea; Elephantidae.
ACAGUGGUGGUUCAAUGGUAGAAUUCCCGCCCACGAUGUGGGAGACCCGGGUUUGAUUCCCAGCCAACAUA